This 578-nucleotide ribosomal RNA is filed under the name Lodderomyces parapsilosis. Its description in RNAcentral is "Candida parapsilosis partial large subunit ribosomal RNA". It matches the Rfam family "Eukaryotic large subunit ribosomal RNA", at positions 57 to 651 of the family's 3401-position model. Lineage: Eukaryota; Fungi; Ascomycota; Pichiomycetes; Serinales; Debaryomycetaceae. The record is from RNAcentral.
AAAAGAAACCAACAGGGAUUGCCUUAGUAGCGGCGAGUGAAGCGGCAAAAGCUCAAAUUUGAAAUCUGGCACUUUCAGUGUCCGAGUUGUAAUUUGAAGAAGGUAUCUUUGGGUCUGGCUCUUGUCUAUGUUUCUUGGAACAGAACGUCACAGAGGGUGAGAAUCCCGUGCGAUGAGAUGUCCCAGACCUAUGUAAAGUUCCUUCGAAGAGUCGAGUUGUUUGGGAAUGCAGCUCUAAGUGGGUGGUAAAUUCCAUCUAAAGCUAAAUAUUGGCGAGAGACCGAUAGCGAACAAGUACAGUGAUGGAAAGAUGAAAAGAACUUUGAAAAGAGAGUGAAAAAGUACGUGAAAUUGUUGAAAGGGAAGGGCUUGAGAUCAGACUUGGUAUUUUGUAUGUUACUCUCUCGGGGGUGGCCUCUACAGUUUACCGGGCCAGCAUCAGUUUGAGCGGUAGGAUAAGUGCAAAGAAAUGUGGCACUGCUUCGGUAGUGUGUUAUAGUCUUUGUCGAUACUGCCAGCUUAGACUGAGGACUGCGGCUUCGGCCUAGGAUGUUGGCAUAAUGAUCUUAAGUCGCCCG